CCUACGGGAGGCAGCAGUCGAGAAUCAUUCACAAUGGGGGAAACCCUGAUGGUGCGACGCCGCGUGGGGGAAUGAAGGUCUUCGGAUUGUAGACCCCUGUCAUGUGGGGGCAAAUUAAAAAGAUAGUACCACAAGAGGAAGAGACGGCUACCUCUGUGCCAGCAGCCGAGGUAAUACCGAGGGCUCAAGCGUUGUUCGGAUUCACUGGGCGUAAAGGGUGCGUAGGCUGUUUCGUAAGUCGUGUGUGAACGGCGAGGGCUCAACCCGCGGACGGCACAUGAUACUGCGAGACUAGAGUAAUGGAGGGGAUACCGGAAUUCUCGGUGUAGCAGUGAAAUGUGUAGAUAUCGAGAGGAACACUCGUGGCGAAGGCGGGUUCCUGGACAUUAACUGACGCUGAGGCACGAAGGCCAGGGGAGCGAAAGGGAUUAGAUACCCGGGUAGUC
RNAcentral lists this ribosomal RNA (446 nucleotides) under uncultured bacterium. Its description in RNAcentral is "partial 16S ribosomal RNA". It matches the Rfam family "Bacterial small subunit ribosomal RNA", at positions 338 to 795 of the family's 1533-position model. The record is from RNAcentral.